Molecule: long non-coding RNA, 484 nt
Organism: Saccostrea echinata
Lineage: Eukaryota; Metazoa; Mollusca; Bivalvia; Ostreida; Ostreidae
Exons: 3
Source: RefSeq, a predicted model, not a curated record
AGCGUAUAAGGAAAGUUUAAGCAAUUGUACAAAGCCGAAGGGUUCUCCGACUUACGAUGGAUAAAUUGAGUCUCAUAAAAGCUUUGGUGCGAGCAAGUAGGAGGAAAAUUUCGAUCGAAGUACAGGUAAACAAGUCAAAGAAUGUCACCUGUUUCUUGUGUAUUCUUGGGGAAAAUAGAAGUGUCUUAUAUUAUAUCGGAUUAGAAUAGUUUUAUCAUCAUUCCAACUAAUUUAUUAACAGAUUUUUCUUGAAUUCGAGGAUAAUGAUGUUAUUACCAGCUGAUUAAGGAGGAGUAUUGUAAGUGUCAGAUGGGUACGAACACCAUCUUGUGACUGCAUCACCUUUGGCUAAAGUACAAGAGAACUGCAGCAUCUAAGACUACAUGUACAUUGACUUUGAAUAAUCUAAGCAGUAUAUCCUCAAAAAGGCAACUCAAACACAGUGCAUAUAAUUUGGAAAAGAGACCAUCAAUCCACGGGGGGG